This 1430-nucleotide long non-coding RNA is filed under the name Homo sapiens (human). RNAcentral describes it as "non-protein coding LINC01550:4". The record is from RNAcentral. Lineage: Eukaryota; Metazoa; Chordata; Mammalia; Primates; Hominidae.
GAGCCGGAGGGGCUGCACUGCACCGAGCUUGCACAGGGCGAGGCGGGGGCAGGACCUGGGACCCAGCCACCCCGGAGGAAACCGGAGAGGAAACCAGCUUGGUCUUGCUCUCUGCCUCGUCCCAAUCCCCGGCUCUUACCAAAUGCAGAUCCGUUGGCUGAAUGCCUUUUAGUCUGCAUACAUGCAUCUCAUACCGCACAGCCCAAAUUUCUACAACUUGUCCAGGUGCAGUCUCCUCAGAACUACAAAGCAAGAAAAGAUCACCUUUGGGCUCAGGAACUCACAGUCGUUCUCCCUCUCCCGGAAGGCACAAUGACCAGGACAGUACCGAGCUUUACAGCCAUAUUGAACUCACCAUCAACUCAGCACAUUCAACUCAAUCAGUCAAAAUCGUCUUUUCCUGCUGGUAAAUAACACUGAAAUACAAGGAAGCUGAGCCUUCACAAGGUCGAACAACACAUUUGAUGCCAUGCAACUGAGAAGUGGUUCAAGCUGGAUUUGAACAAAUGUAGUCAGACUCUGCAGCCUAUGCAUGUACCCACUGUGCUAUGCUGUCGCAUUGAAUAAAAUGCAGUGCCCUCAAUACGAAGUCAAUGUGAGCACAUACCAAGAAUCAUAUUGGGAAGGAGAAGUCCUCAGUAGGCAAAACACUUUCCAGCAAUGUUAACCUGGAUGUGGAUAGAAAGGAGACUUGGGAAUUUCUCUGACUUAAUUCAUCUCUGGGUCCAUUUGAAGCACAGCAGAAGAGAGGGGAAGAGGUGCUAGGAGUGGUGGGCUCUGAGGUUCAAGCCCCGCCAAUGGCCAGGCCUAAUAAAGAUCUAGACCUCCUUGCAGAAUGAGGCUUUCUCCAAAACCCUUCAGCUGUGGUUUGGUGGAAGAGGCCUCACUACAUCUAGCUAAUUUUGUUCAUUCAUUCAUUCAUUCACUCAUUUAUUCAACCAGACUUCAUGGACACUUCUCCAUGUCAGGGCCUGGGCGUUGUGUCAGGGUUGCAAGGAUGAGUCAGGGAUUAUCCGUCAUCUCCCGGAAUUCAUGAGCACAUGGGGAAGACAGCUUGGAGAAAAUCACAGUAAUAGGGGAAAAUAAGGGCUGAGAAAAAAGUCCAUGCACUGCAGCGGACAGGACAGCAGAUCAGCUCCUGUGGGUUAAAAGUGGGCUGUGGGCUGGGUGCGGUGGCUCACACCUGUAAUCUCAGCACUUUCGGAGACUGACGUGGGCAGAUCACGAGGUCAAGAGAUCGAGAACAUCCUGGCCAACAUGGUGAAACCCCGUCUCUACUAAAAAUACAAAUAUUAGCUGGCCGUGUUGGCAUGCACCUGUAGUCCCAGCUACUAGGGAGACUGAGGCAAGAGAAUGGCUUGAGCCUGUGAGGCGGAGGUUGCAGUGAGCCGAGAUCACAGCACUGCACUCUAGCCUUGUGACAGAGUCUC